GGGCCCGCACAAGCGGUGGAGCAUGUGGUUUAAUUCGAUGCAACGCGAAGAACCUUACCUACACUUGACAUCCUCAGAAGAAUUUAGAGAUAGAUUUGUGCCUUCGGGAACUGAGAGACAGGUGCUGCAUGGCUGUCGUCAGCUCGUGUUGUGAAAUGUUGGGUUAAGUCCCGCAACGAGCGCAACCCUUAUCCUUAAUUGCCAGCACUUCGGGUGGGGACUUUAGGGAGACUGCCGGUGAUAUACCGGAGGAAGGUGGGGACGACGUCAAGUCAUCAUGGCCCUUACGUGUAGGGCUACACACGUGCUACAAUGGUGCAUACAGAGGGAAGCGACCUUGCGAGAGUGAGCGGA
RNAcentral lists this ribosomal RNA (354 nucleotides) under uncultured bacterium. Its description in RNAcentral is "bacterial SSU rRNA". It matches the Rfam family "Bacterial small subunit ribosomal RNA", at positions 917 to 1271 of the family's 1533-position model. The record is from RNAcentral.